This is a long non-coding RNA of Astatotilapia calliptera (eastern happy), 1340 nucleotides long. The record is from Ensembl. NCBI's taxonomy places the organism in Eukaryota, Metazoa, Chordata, Actinopteri, Cichliformes, Cichlidae.
UGUAAUUCCCCUAGGUGGCGUUGUCAAGUUUAUUUAUUUUGUGCAUAACCCCGCCGACCACUUGGUCACAUUUGUCUUUGUGGACCUUCCUUUGUUCACUGGUGCACAUUCAUGUAUGAAGAGUUGGCAGCAUGAAAUGAUCUAAAAUGUCUUGCACCAAACUUUACAGUUAGCACAGUGUAGUCAGACAUGUACCAUUCUUCCUGGCACCCACCAAACGCAGACUCACCCAUCAGAUUGAGACAGAGAUCAGACAGAGAAGUGUGAUUCAUCCUCUAAGAGAACAAGUGUCCACUGUAGAAAGUUGGUGACCUCUGUUUACCACGUGCCUGAGCGUCCACCGACCCCGCUCUGUGAUUUUUUUUUUUUUUUUUUUUUUUUUUUUUUACAUGGCCUACUGGUUCACGGCUGAGUUGCUGUCGUUCCCAAUCAUUUCCACUUGACGAUAACACCACUGACACACGACUGUGGAAUAUUUAGUAGUGAGGAAUCUUUAAGACUGGACUUGUUGCACAGGUUGCAUCCUAUCACGGUACCACGCUGGAAUUCCCUGAGCUCCUGAGAGCGACACACAAAUGUUUGUGGAAACAAUCUGCAUGCUGAUGCUUGAUUUCAGUGACUUGCAUGGCUGAGUGAAUACUUUGGCUGCUCCCUCCAGGGGUGCACAGAGCGGGUCAUCUGCCCAGAUCUCAACCUAUCGCUGUCACACCAACACUCUCGACUGCAUCCAUGAACUUCCUGUGGUUUCCAUCUUUUCCUCCUGCACUGCAGCUCCAUCCACAGUAUCCUUUGUCCAAAAUAUUCAUGAUCCGUCCUCUACACGUCCAAACCAGCUGAGUCUCCCCUUUCUUUGUUUUUAAUACAGCUUUCCAAAUUUUGACAUUUUAUCUUUAUAUAUUCAUUCAGAGGAUGAUGGUUUAUAAUCCUUACAGAGGUGCCUGCUACAUCUGACGUCACCUGUAUUUAUCAUUGUGAGGGAAGCCAAGCCUGCGACGGUGUGAGGACAGCAGAGCAGGAACUGAAAACUGAGCCCAUCUCUGGAUGAAUGAAAACAGCAGUGCAUCACUUCCUGUACCUACAUGCAGGCUGUGCUUUAAGAACCCCGAAACUAGGAGUACCGGUAUAUGAACAGUGCAGCCCUGCUGUGUGUUUACUCUGCUGAUGCAUGAAGUAGAACUAGCUACACCUGGAAGAUUAUUACAGUUAACCAGUUUGCCACUUUAACAGCAGUUAACUGGAAUAACAGACUAAACUGGUUCUGUGUAAAUACUGGAAAUGUCUUUGGCUUCUCAUUUUAUUUGCUUCUGUUUUCUGAUCCUAAUAAAAUGUUAUUUUAUUCA